UUAGUAACGGCGAGUGAAGCGGCAAAAGCUCAGAUUUGAAAUCUGGUAUCAUUUUUUGGUGCCCGAGUUGUAAUCUGUAGAGGAGUAUUCGGUUUUGGUCAUGGCUUAAGUUCCUUGGAACAGGACGUCAUGGUGGGUGAGAACCCCGUUUGCGGCCUUUGUCUUCAAAAUCAUGUGAAUCUCCUUCAACGAGUCGAGUUGUUUGGGAAUGCAGCUCUAAAUGGGUGGUAAAUUCCAUCUAAGGCUAAAUAUCUGCAAGAGACCGAUAGCGCACAAGUAGAGUGAUCGAAAGAUGAAAAGAACUCUGAACAGAGAGUUAAAUAGUACGUGAAAUUGUUGAAAGGGAAGCACUUGCUACCAGACGCACUUGCAAUUGAUCAGGCUUGCAUUUUGUAAGCUGCACUCAGUUGUAGGUGGGUCAGCAUCAGUUAUGGCGGUGGGAUAAAGCCUGGAGGAAUGUGGCUCUCUUCGGGGAGUGUUAUAGCCUCUGGUGUAAUACUGCCUGCUAUGACUGAGGAUCGCGCCUUCGGGCGAGGAUGCUGGCAUAAUGGUCGUAAGUGACCCGUCUUGAAACACGGACCAAGGAGUCUAACAUCUAUGCGAGUAUUUGGGCUUUAUAAACCCUUAUGCGAAAUGAAAGUGAAUGGAGGUGGGAACCGCAAGGUGCACCAUCGACCGAUCCUGAUGUCUUCGGAUGGAUUUGAGUAUGAGCAUAGCUGUUGGGACCCGAAAGAUGGUGAACUAUACUUGAAUAGGGUGAAGCCAGAGGAAACUCUGGUGGAGGCUCGCAGCGGUUCUGACGUGCAAAUCGAUCGUCAAAUUUGGGUAUAGGGGCGAAAGACUAAUCGAACCAUCUAGUAGCUGGUUCCGGCCGAAGUUUCCCUCAGGAUAGCAGUAACGAGUUGAAUAGUUUUAUGAGGUAAAGCGAAUGAUUAGAGGCCUUGGGGUUGGAACAACCUUAACCUAUUCUCAAACUUUAAAUAUGUAAGAAGGCCCUGUUGCUUAAUUGAACGGGGUCG
This 1019-nucleotide ribosomal RNA is filed under the name Lepidotia hispida. RNAcentral's name for it is "partial large subunit ribosomal RNA". It matches the Rfam family "Eukaryotic large subunit ribosomal RNA", at positions 80 to 1107 of the family's 3401-position model. Lineage: Eukaryota; Fungi; Ascomycota; Pezizomycetes; Pezizales; Pezizaceae. The record is from RNAcentral.